Molecule: ribosomal RNA, 860 nt
Filed under: uncultured Zetaproteobacteria bacterium
Lineage: Bacteria; Pseudomonadati; Pseudomonadota; Candidatius Mariprofundia
Description: bacterial SSU rRNA
Rfam family: Bacterial small subunit ribosomal RNA
Source: RNAcentral
GCUGGCGGCGUGCCUAACACAUGCAAGUCGAACGGUAACAGGGACUUCGGUCCGCUGACGAGUGGCGCACGGGUGAGUAACGCGUGGAGUUACCUACCCAUCAGUGAGGAACAACCUGGAGAAAUCCAGGCUAAUACCGCAUACGACCUUCGGGUGAAAGAGGGGGAUCUUCGGACCUCUCGCUGAUGGAUGGUUCCGCGUCCGAUUAGUUAGUUGGUAAGGUAAUGGCUUACCAAGACGAUGAUCGGUAGCUGGUUUGAGAGGAUGAUCAGCCACACUGGAACUGAGACACGGUCCAGACUCCUACGGGAGGCAGCAGUGGGGAAUUUUGCACAAUGGGCGCAAGCCUGAUGCAGCGACGCCGCGUGCGGGAAGAAGGCCUUCGGGUUGUAAACCGCUUUCAACAGGGAAGAAGGAAUGAGGGUCAAUACCCCUCUGCCUUGACGGUACCUGUAGAAGAAGCCCCGGCUAAUUUCGUGCCAGCAGCCGCGGUAAUACGAAAGGGGCAAGCGUUGUUCGGAUUUACUGGGCGUAAAGAGAUCGUAGGUGGCUUGUUAAGUCGGAUGUGAAAUCCCGGGGCUCAACCCCGGAACUGCAUUCGAUACUGGCAGGCUUGAGUUCGGGAGGGGGAAGCGGAAUUCCGUGUGUAGCAGUGAAAUGCGUAGAUAUACGGAGGAACACCUGAGGCGAAGGCGGCUUCCUGGACCGAUACUGACACUGAGGAUCGAAAGCGUGGGUAGCAAACAGGAUUAGAUACCCUGGUAGUCCACGCCCUAAACGAUGUCUACUAGCCGUUGCGGGUAUCGACCCCUGCAGUGGCGCAGCUAACGCAAUAAGUAGACCGCCUGGGGAGUACGGCC